Molecule: ribosomal RNA, 267 nt
Filed under: uncultured bacterium
Lineage: Bacteria
Description: partial 16S ribosomal RNA
Rfam family: Bacterial small subunit ribosomal RNA
Source: RNAcentral
GUCCUAGCCCUAAACGAUGCUCAUUAGAUGUGGGAGGUAUCGACCCCUUCCGCGUCGCAGCUAACGCAUUAAAUGAGCCGCCUGGGGAGUACUGCCGCAAGGUUGAAACUCAAAGGAAUUGACGGGGGCCCGCACAAGCGGUGGAACAUGUGGUUUAAUUCGACGCAACGCGAAGAACCUUACCUGGGCUUGAACUACAGAUGGUAGGUCGCUGGAAACAGUGGCCGACCCGCAAGGGAGUCUGCAGAGGUGCUGCAUGGUUGUCGU